Molecule: ribosomal RNA, 429 nt
Filed under: Chloroflexota bacterium
Lineage: Bacteria; Bacillati; Chloroflexota
Description: Chloroflexi bacterium partial 16S ribosomal RNA
Rfam family: Bacterial small subunit ribosomal RNA
Source: RNAcentral
UGGGGAAUAUUGCACAAUGGGCGCAAGCCUGAUGCAGCCAUGCCGCGUGUGUGAAGAAGGCCUUCGGGUUGUAAAGCACUUUCAGCGGGGAGGAAGGCGGUGAGGUUAAUAACCUCACCGAUUGACGUUACCCGCAGAAGAAGCACCGGCUAACUCCGUGCCAGCAGCCGCGGUAAUACGGAGGGUGCAAGCGUUAAUCGGAAUUACUGGGCGUAAAGCGCACGCAGGCGGUCGGUCAAGUCGGAUGUGAAAUCCCCGGGAUCAACCUGGGAAAUGCAUUCGAAACUGGCAGGCUAGAGUCUUGUAGAGGGGGGUAGAAUUCCAGGUGUAGCGGUGAAAUGCGUAGAGAUCUGGAGGAAUACCGAUGGCGAAGGCGGCCCCCUGGACAAAGACUGACGCUCAGGUGCGAAAGCGUGGGGAGCAAACAGG